Pseudopipra pipra is the source of this 2853-nucleotide long non-coding RNA. RefSeq lists it as uncharacterized. The transcript is spliced from 2 exons. The record is from RefSeq and is a predicted model, not a curated record. Lineage: Eukaryota; Metazoa; Chordata; Aves; Passeriformes; Pipridae.
GGGAAGCCGGGGCAGGGCGGAGAGCCGGCCCCGCCGAGCCGGGAAGAGCCGCCCCCCGCGCCGGCAGCGGGGAGCGGGCUGUCCGCGGCAACAGGGGAAGGAGACCCCCGAAGCUCCGACGCGGAGCCCCGCGGGGCAGCGCCGGCCGCCCUUCUCUCUGCUCGCCGUGCCGGUAGUCCUGCGAGGAAGCAAACCCGCAAGCGCAGCGCGGGGAGGGGAUCCUCUAUCCUCCCCUUGCCCCAAAGAAAAUGCAACUCGGAGGUGCUCCCGGAGCCGCCCCCACCGACAUCAGCGUGGCGUCCCCACGCGAGUGGGGAGGCAGGGCCGGGGCCCGUGUCGUUCCCCCGGCAGCAGCCCCGCUGGCGGUCCCUGCGUGCCAUGUCGGCGGACUCGUACAUGGGAGGCGGCCAGAGGUUACGGCGAGGAAUUAUGAAGUAGCUACAGGCGCUGGAAGCCCUAUUGCUGCAUCAAUCUCUCCGCUCAGGCUGCGACGAGCUUCGCCGGCAUCAUUUACUUUCUCCUGCAGCGGCUCCCAAGAGCUCCCCCAGCUGCACUGCAUCGCCCCAGCCAGCCUGAAGGGAGAAGCAAACGAGGAGCAGACAGACCACGCACCCUCGUUUCGCCUGCAGCUCAGCCCGGCUCUCCUCGCCUCCUCCCCAGCCUACCAGGUCCUUCUCCCUACAAAACUUUCCCUGAUGUUGUGUGCCGGCCUCAGGUGGAUGCUUUGCCUCCGUGUGUGCCUGCUCCGCCCGCCUCGCAGGGGAUUUGCGGCUGUAGAGAGGCCCGUGUCUCUCUCCCUCGACGGCUGCCGGAGGUCCUAUUGGGAACUAACGGGCUGCAGCGGGAAGGGAGCCGACGAGGAGAGAUAAGAAGCUGGAGAAAAUUGGGCUAUUCCUGCCAGAUGCCAGCUGGAAACCGCUUGGCAGGUCCCUGCCCCACCGCUUUUUCCUGCAGCGCCAAAAUUUCCUGCAGAAGUUGCUAGGAGCGUCACCGCUCCCCAGCCGGCCCCGGGACACUCUGCUCCACCGGUCCCCGACGGGGCGUCCGGGGGUUCCCGCGCCCGCCGGCCGGGCUGCCCCGAGGUUGCCUCACGCCUGCCGGGUCUGGCAGCUGUGCCUUAUUUUCUUCUCUGUUGGCUUUCCAGGUUUUUCCCCUCCCCUCCUUACCGUUUCAUUCCCCUUCAGUUAAAAAAAAAAAAGAAAAAAAAAAAGAAGAAAGAAAAAGGAGCCAAUUAAAGCGGCCGUGCUGGGGAGAGCCCAGCCUCCUGCCCAAUUCUGCGGGCCUCCCCACGCCUCGCCCCAGCCCAAUUAUAGACAACACCGCAGGGCUGGGAAGAAAAAGGGAUUUGCUUCGGGCGAGAGAUCCGUCGUCAGCCCGGGGUACCCCCAUCCUCAGGACACUCGUGGCAAGGUCGGAUUCUCCCGGCUGGGACCUGAGAUGCGAAGGGGUGGGGGGGCAGCUCAGGCUGCCCAGUGUCUCCUAUGCCGGCGCUGGCUGGUGCCAGCAAAGUUUUUUGGGGCCCCCCAGGUAGGUUGCAGGCCGGCGGGGCUGCCUCGUGCAUGCUGCCAGGGAGCGGCAAGGCGGGGGUGCCGUACGGGCCCCCACCCCCGUGCGAGGCUGCGGUGGCCGCGGUACCCGCCGGACUGCCGGCCCCGGGCCGUGGUGAGGCUCGUACAUGAGACUCGGAGCCGGGGAGCUGUGCAUGCCGCCUCCGCUCUUCCCCGCACCUCGCAGGGUUCGGAGCGAGAGGCUGGGAGGAGGAAGAGGAUGAGGAAGCUGCGCGAGCCGCGAGCAUCGUCACCGGCACUGGGGGGCUGCGCGGGGCUCUGCUUUGCCAUCCCUAUCUCCAUCUGCUUUGCGAGAGGGACAAAACGCUGCUUCUGGGGAGCCUAGACCUGCUCGCCGGCGAGCCUGCCCGUGCCCGGCCCGGGGCCGUAGCAGUAAGCUCAGCCCGUCAAGCGGAGCCAGCGCCGUGGAAACCCGUCUUAGGGCGCGUACUGCUCCCGGGAGCCCGGCUCCGGCUCGCCUCUUCCCCGGCGCUGGUCCUGCCGAGGCUCUCAGGGACAGGCUGAUGCGGGUGUCCCUUAGGGACAGCGGGUCCUCUCCGGCUCUUUCCUGGGGCUGGUCACUGCGCGCUCUCCCGCCUCGGCCACGCGUGGGCUCGGCACGCUGCCCCCGGGCGCUCCGGGCCCUGUCCCGCGGCUCUGCACCCAUGCCCGCUCCCCGCGGCAGCUGGCGAGGGGUGCGGGACCCGGAGGGAAAGCGGUUGGCCGGCAGGCACUGAGUCGCCGUGUGAACAAGUCACUCCCUGAUAAAAACGUAAUUUAUUAAAAAAAAAAAAAAAAAAAAAGGAAAAAUAUCAAGAGAUAUGGCCUAGAGAGAGCGGCCGCCUGCUCAGUCGUGCUCUAACAAACAAGCAAUUAAUAGAUAUAGCCCCUAAUUAGUAAGCAGUUAUUCCUAUUGUAAAUGGUGCUCAGCGAGAGAGAAAAGCAAUAGCGUGCACCAGAAGGGGAGCAGCGAUACGAACAGGGCAGUUUCACUCCAGUGCCCAGCAUCCCUGCAUGGAGGAGGCAUGGCAGGCGGUUCCCCACUGGGCUCUAUUCUAUCACUUGUCAGGAUACCGCCAGUAUAAAACUGCCUUGUUUAGUUUUGUGGUCGUUUGGGGUUUUUUUUCCCUUCGUAUUUUUUUUUCCUAUAACCAAGCUAAGGGAACAUUUGCCAAGACACUGUGGGCUUUGCACUCUGAGAUGCCCUUUCCACAGCUGAUGGAGUGGGGCACUUGUGAAAGCACCUGAUGUGAUCAAGUUUAUUCCUUAAUAAAAUAAACCCUUAUCUGAGAAGGAUUUAAUCCUU